GACGAACGCUGGCGGCGUGCCUAACACAUGCAAGUCGAACGGAACUGUUUUGAAAGCUUUCUUCGGAAUGAAUUUGAUUUAGUUUAGUGGCGGACGGGUGAGUAACGCGUGAGUAACCUGCCUUCAAGAGGGGAAUAACAUUCUGAAAAGAAUGCUAAUACCGCAUGACAUAUCGGAACCACAUGGUUUUGAUAUCAAAGAUUUUAUCGCUUGAAGAUGGACUCGCGUCCGAUUAGUUAGUUGGUGAGGUAACGGCUCACCAAGACCGCGAUCGGUAGCCGGACUGAGAGGUUGAACGGCCACGUGGGGACUGAGACACGGCCCAGACUCCUACGGGAGGCAGCAGUGGGGGAUAUUGCGCAAUGGGGGCAACCCUGACGCAGCAACGCCGCGUGAAGGAUGAAGGUUUUCGGAUUGUAAACUUCUUUUAUUAAGGACGAAAAAUGACGGUACUUAAUGAAUAAGCUCCGGCUAACUACGUG
RNAcentral lists this ribosomal RNA (482 nucleotides) under uncultured bacterium. Its description in RNAcentral is "partial 16S ribosomal RNA". It matches the Rfam family "Bacterial small subunit ribosomal RNA", at positions 28 to 507 of the family's 1533-position model. The record is from RNAcentral.